UAUUCCAGAUUGUGGAAAACGGGGAAAUAGGUAAGCUCCUGUGGCGGGCAAACCAAUGUAGGGCUUACAUCUUCCUGUUAACGGAUCCCUCGUCCUUAAUGCAUCAGGCUGAGUAUGCUGCACACGACGCAUGGGACUACUCCGGCAGAAUGAUAAUAGUCGGCCUCAGCACAUCUCACAUCGACGCCCUCACUAGCACUAAGAAAGGCCGCAAGACUGAACACAUCCUAGGAAUCGUUCAGGACCAAUCUGGAAACUUCAUACUUUUAAUGAAUCUUCUAUACCAUAAUGAUAACCUUUCCCACGUGUUCACCUGGCGAACACCAGUCUCUCCGAAGACGAAGUACUCGACUGACCUAAUCAUCAAGACAAAAUAUGACCUUGUUACGAAACAGCCAAAGACUACGCCAAAUUUCACCAUACCGCUUUUCCCUGAGAAAACUAAGGACCUUCACGGUUUCAGUUUAAACGUGGUAUGGUUCUUGUUCUAUCCAGAGAUUAUAUAUCGUUACGGCGAAAAAGGAAACAUGGUGGUAAGAUAUGGUGGUAACGUACGGGUUGUGGAGACAGUGGCUAAAGUACUUAACUUUACUCCACGCUUUGUGGAGCCACCAACAGGUUAGUGUGUGUGUGUGUGUGUGUGUGUGUGUGUGUGUGUGUGUGUGUGUGUGUGUGUGUGUGUGUAAAUGGAGCACUGACGAAGGACAACAACAACAACAACAACAAAAAGGCUCAUUAGUGCCAGUC
This is a long non-coding RNA of Scylla paramamosain (green mud crab), 747 nucleotides long. RefSeq lists it as uncharacterized. The transcript is spliced from 4 exons. The record is from RefSeq and is a predicted model, not a curated record. NCBI's taxonomy places the organism in Eukaryota, Metazoa, Arthropoda, Malacostraca, Decapoda, Portunidae.